GCCAUAGCAAACUCCGAAUACCCGGAAGUAUGAGCACGGCAGACAGACGUCGGGUGCUAACGUCCGACGUCAAGAGGGAAACAACCCAGACCGCCAGCUAAGGUCCCAAAGUACCGCUAAGUGGGAAACGAAGUGGGAAGGCUAAAACAGUCAGGAGGUUGGCUUAGAAGCAGCCACCCUUUAAAGAAAGCGUAAUAGCUCACUGAUCGAGUCGUCCUGCGCGGAAGAUGUAACGGGGCUAAGCGGUACACCGAAGCUGCGGAUUUGCCGAAAGGCAAGUGGUAGGGGAGCGUUCUGUAAGUCUGUGAAGGUGAGCCGUAAGGCUUGCUGGAGAUAUCAGAAGUGCGAAUGCUGACAUGAGUAGCGUUAAAGCGGGUGAAAAGCCCGCUCGCCGUAAGCGCAAGGUUUCCUACGCAACGUUCAUCGGCGUAGGGUGAGUCGGCCCCUAAGGUGAGGCAGAGAUGCGUAGCUGAUGGGAAACAGGUCAAUAUUCCUGUACCGAUCAAUAGUGCGAUGUGGGGACGGAGAAGGUUAGCUCAGCCAACUGUUGGAAUAGUUGGUUCAAGCCUGUAGUCGUGCCUGGUAGGCAAAUCCGCCGGGCUGAGAUGAGGGGUGAUAACGAGUCUGCUUGCAGACGAAGUGAGUGAUACCCUGCUUCCAGGAAAAGCCACUAAGCUUCAGCUAUUGACGACCGUACCGCAAACCGACAC
Molecule: ribosomal RNA, 710 nt
Filed under: Hymenobacter endophyticus
Lineage: Bacteria; Pseudomonadati; Bacteroidota; Cytophagia; Cytophagales; Hymenobacteraceae
Description: partial 23S ribosomal RNA
Rfam family: Bacterial large subunit ribosomal RNA
Source: RNAcentral